AAAUAGCAUUUGUAGAUUCCUGUGAACAUCAAGUCAUAAACAUGUAAUUCUGAACAGCAACAUCUUCCUAAUAAGAAUUUCGACCAGUUGACAAUAACAGAAUUCAGUCUUGUUCAUGUUGAUGAUCGGUACAACACGAGACAGAUAGCAAGCCAUGGUAUAUCAGACCGUAUACCACAGGGGGCUGUGGACAGUCUGGAGAGGGGAGGGGUGCAUCACUCUGGGCCAACCAGGGUGGUGAAGAGACUGUUCAGUACCAUAUUAGGAAUUGUUUGAGUGAAGAAUCGAGGGGGACACAGGAUGGAACUGCUCUACCCAACAACCAGAUGUGGACGAAGGAAAACGCCAAGGGGCUUGGACAAGUUCGGGGGCCCACAAAGGAGGAGCAAGAGUAUUAACCAUGCUAAACCUCUACUAUGAUAGGCCAACUGGACAAGUUGAGAAUAAAAUUGUCAUAGUAUAAAAACUACUAUUUGAGUACAUUCCACAGUUCUCUGAUCUACCCUGCGCGGAGAUACAGUGAACCAGUAUAUACGAAAAUUGCAUUUACCAUUUAUCGUUUGAGUUUAAUUAAAAUACUUAAAAUAUA
This is a non-coding RNA of Salvelinus sp. IW2-2015, 589 nucleotides long. Lineage: Eukaryota; Metazoa; Chordata; Actinopteri; Salmoniformes; Salmonidae. The record is from RefSeq and is a predicted model, not a curated record.